Molecule: ribosomal RNA, 468 nt
Filed under: uncultured bacterium
Lineage: Bacteria
Description: partial 16S ribosomal RNA
Rfam family: Bacterial small subunit ribosomal RNA
Source: RNAcentral
GACGAACGCUGGCGGCGUGCUUAACACAUGCAAGUCGAACGGAAAGGCCCUGCUUUUGUGGGGUGCUCGAGUGGCGAACGGGUGAGUAACACGUGAGUAACCUGCCCUUGACUUUGGGAUAACCUAAGGAAACUGGGGCUAAUCCCGGAUAGGAGCUCCUGCUGCAUGGUGGGGGUUGGAUAGUUUCGGCGGUUGGGGAUGGACUCGCGGCUUAUCAGCUUGUUGGUGGGGUAGUGGCUUACGAAGGCUUUGACGGGUAGCCGGCCUGAGAGGGUGACCGGCCACAUUGGGACUGAGAUACGGCCCAGACUCCUACGGUAGGCAGCAGUGGGGAAUAGUGCACAAUGGGCGGAAGCCUGAUGCAGCAACGCCGCGUGCGGUAUGACGGCCUUCGGGUUGUAAACCACUUCCGCCUGUGACGAAGCGUGAGUGACGGUAAUGGGUAAAGAAGCACCGGCUAACUACGUG